GUGGAAACAAAGCAGAGCUUUAACUGUCCUGGAAAUUUCAGAAAGUGCACACUAGGAUGAAGCAGGAGCCUGGGCAGAGUCAAGACUGCCAGGGUGCUGAUUCAGGAAAAGAAGGUAUCCGUCAGCAAAAUUCAAGGCCUGGCAUGAAAUGGAUGAGGCAUGACCCUCCACAGGGCCCUUCUUCUUUUAAGGAACCCAAGAUCAACAGCCACUGAAGAUUUUUGAAGAUAUAAUUUAAUUAAUGCAGCUUCAAAAAGGAAAGAACUGACUUGACAGUUAAAGAUUUAUCAGACCACCCAGAGAGUUUUUGUGAUAAUGGAUAAAAAUUAACAAACAUUCAAAA
Peromyscus eremicus (cactus mouse) is the source of this 343-nucleotide long non-coding RNA. RefSeq lists it as uncharacterized. NCBI's taxonomy places the organism in Eukaryota, Metazoa, Chordata, Mammalia, Rodentia, Cricetidae. The transcript has 3 exons. The record is from RefSeq and is a predicted model, not a curated record.